Molecule: transfer RNA, 83 nt
Filed under: Solanum tuberosum (potato)
Lineage: Eukaryota; Viridiplantae; Streptophyta; Magnoliopsida; Solanales; Solanaceae
Rfam family: tRNA
About the family: Transfer RNA (tRNA) molecules are approximately 80 nucleotides in length. Their secondary structure includes four short double-helical elements and three loops (D, anti-codon, and T loops).
Source: Rfam by way of RNAcentral
GGGAGAGUGGCCGAGUGGUCCAAAGCGGCAGACUAUAAAUCUGUUGUAGAUUUUCUACGUAGGUUCAAAUUCUGCCUCUCCCA